This 787-nucleotide long non-coding RNA is filed under the name Anas platyrhynchos platyrhynchos (common mallard). RNAcentral's name for it is "lncRNA (ENSAPLG00000023547.1)". Lineage: Eukaryota; Metazoa; Chordata; Aves; Anseriformes; Anatidae. The record is from RNAcentral.
UACAAUUUGGUUUAUCCAGAUGUGUAAAAACUAGGAGAAAGGUGUAGAAAGCACCAGCAUAACAAUGUGAAACCAGGCUUUGAAAAGAGAAAUAGCUCAGGAUCACAGAAACCAACCUCUGGAAGAGCUAGGAGUUAUAUCUCCUGAAUUGCACUAUAGUAUACUAAGCACAGUAUUCUCUUUCCUCCCCUGCUGUCAUUUUGUGAUGUAAAAUAUUCAAUUGCUGACCACACAUAUACAGCAAACUGACCCAUCGCUUUCCGGGGAAAAUUACCAAGCAGAAAAGAAAUGUUCAGACAUCCAAAGAAUUGUAAAAUCAAAGCUCUUAUGCCCUUUUCUCCUGCCAGGAUUAAAACGUAGUCCCUGAAGCUUCAUUCAAGUCUGGACCCAUUCUCAAGUUCUUUUUCCCAAACUGUGGCCCAGAUCAUACCCUUAAAUUCUGCAGAUGCACAGAGAAAAGCAAGAAGAGAACUAUCAGACACAGCAGAAGUCUGUGCUUUGCUGUGAAGAAGCUGUUUUCACGGCCCUGUGCUCUGCUGAGCUGAGAUGGGUGGAUACUGGAUGGAUGAUGGUGUCUGUGGGAAGCAUGGCAUGAGGUGAAGGGAAGAAAGGAAAACCCCAGAAGAUGGGAAGACAGCCAAGCUUUAGAAAGCUUUUUUUUUUUUUUUUUUUUUUUUUUUUUAAUGAAACAAUUAAAUAGAGAAGAUUUAAAAAUAAUUUGACUGUUGCAUUGCAGCUCCAGUUUCUUUCCUGGGAAAAGUGAAUUAACUUCAAAUGCUGAACAUUG